RNAcentral lists this transfer RNA (91 nucleotides) under Oxobacter pfennigii. RNAcentral's name for it is "tRNA-Ser". It matches the Rfam family "tRNA". Rfam says of the family: Transfer RNA (tRNA) molecules are approximately 80 nucleotides in length. Lineage: Bacteria; Bacillati; Bacillota; Clostridia; Eubacteriales; Clostridiaceae. The record is from RNAcentral.
GGAGGGUUACUCAAGUGGCUCAAGAGGACGGUUUGCUAAACCGUUAGCAGUCGUAAGGCUGGCGCAGGUUCAAAUCCUGUACCCUCCGCCA